GGGAGUUUGACUGGGGCG
Molecule: non-coding RNA, 18 nt
Filed under: Xenopus laevis (African clawed frog)
Lineage: Eukaryota; Metazoa; Chordata; Amphibia; Anura; Pipidae
Also listed under: 2 other names
Source: RNAcentral